RNAcentral lists this ribosomal RNA (116 nucleotides) under Pteropus alecto (black flying fox). Lineage: Eukaryota; Metazoa; Chordata; Mammalia; Chiroptera; Pteropodidae. The record is from RNAcentral.
GUCUAUGACCAUGCCAUCCUGAACAAGCCCAAUGUCUGAUCUUGGAAGCUAAGCAGGGUUGGGCCUGGUUAGUACUUGGAUGGGGGACCACCUAGGGAGACCAGGUGCUGUAGGCA